GUGUGAGAGAGAGAAAGGUCUUCGUUCUGCUGUUGGUUCACUCCCCAAAUGGCCGCCAUGGCCCGCACUGUGCCGAUCCGGAGCCAGGUGCUUCCUCCUGGUCUCCCAUGCGGGUGCAGGGCCAAGCACUUGGGCCAUCCCCCACUGCCUUCCCAGUCCACAGCAGAGAGUUGGACUGGAAAAGGAGCAACCGGGACAGAAUCCGGUGCCCCAACCAGGAGUAGAACCCAGGGUGCCGGUGCCGCAGGCGGAGGGUUAGCCAAGUGAGUCGCGGUGCCGGCCACCAAAGCUAUUUCAAAAAGUUUUCUUGAAUAUUAAUUUUGAGCUGGGCAAAAUUUUCUCUUUGAGGCAAAGGCAGGAAGGAUAUAGAAGAAACAGUAUAAGAAGAAACAGGGAGACCAGAGAAAAGAGGACAGGAAUUCAGUGUGGCUAGAGAGGAGGACCUUCCUCAGGGAGUUGGUCCGCAUUGCUGUUUGCCUCUAUCCCCGACCAGGAAGCGUGAAGAAUGUGUCUUAAGUGCAGGCAUUUGAGCCAGAUGGCCUUGUAAAAAAUAACACAUUCUAUACUGUGGAAUGUUCUAAUGUGGAAACCAAUAUCCAAGAAUGGACUAUGAAAAACAGUAUCUGCUAUUUUUAGCAGCCACCCCUUCUCUUUCUGAGUAAUAAGCCUAAUGUCCAGACUUAUGAUUCAAGGACCAAAAGAAAAUGACAACUCUAUCAGAUGGAUAUUUUCAAAAUAUUACCCUGUUGUACUCACAGUGUUGCUUGGGAAAAUUGCCAAAAAGGAAAACAAGGCCCAUCAGCAUGUGGUUUCAUGUGCUGGAGAGAAUGGGCAAAUAAAAAAGCAGAGAGGGCCUUGGGGGUGGCAGUGAAGACAAAGAGCUUGCUGGCAGCCAAGCCGUGCUCUCCUGUCUGUGAGGUGGCCUCUGAGAACACGUGCCUGACUCUCCUUCGCAAACAAAGCAACCAGAGCAGGAGGACCACAACCAGUGCUAGCCCCAAAGAGAAUCCGGUGUGGCUGAGAUUUGAAGAUUGUUUUGGUUCCCUCUGCUUGAAAAUCUGUCUCUCAGUGUUCUGUUUGGUGUCAGAAACUGCCACAGUGUUGGAAUGUCCCUCUGAUCACACACCUGUGCCUUGAGAUAGCUAGUUAGGGUAGAGAGUUAGAUGGUAGAAUGGAAAAACAGAACAAUAACAUUGAUAGGCACCAUUUAUCAAGCACUCACUGCCUUAUUUCCUUCAUUCCUCAUAUCACCCUGAUGGAGCACUGGCAGGGGAAACUCUGGGUUGCCCACCCAGGGUCCAUUUUUGUCCCUAUUCUAAAUUUAAUUCGUCUUGUCUUAACCAUUUAUUUAAGCAAAGAGCAAUAAAUAUGGCAGCACUCAAUCAAAGAGAUUCAGAGAGCUCCCUCAGCCAUGUGAGCAGGGAGCUUUUAUAGGCUGGACACAGAAGCAAAGUAGAGGAGUCACCUGAUUGGCUGAAGGGAUGAGGCAUUUGCUUCAUUGGGGCAUGGUCCAAGUUGAUUGUGAUGGCCUAAGCUCAGCUGUUACAAAAUUAGGUAUAUGUUUGUAUACUAAGUUAGUUGUGGUUACACAGGAAUUCAAAGUAUGGAGACAUUCUUCAUGCUAAUGACCUCCUAGUCAUGUAAUAUAAUACUUUUAACUGAAUUCCACUUUUCUUCUUCCUUAAUAUAGCCUUGGGCAAGCCAAAUGCAUUCCCAUUCCAGUGAUCGCUUUCCCGGUGGAUGGUUCAGGACUGAGAGAUGAGAGAGGCAUGUCUUACAGUGUCCUCAGUCUUUGCUGCCCGGGAUGGAGACAACCGUGGAGCUCACAGGUUAGGCAGACUGAGCGUGAAGAUAGCAGAGCUAGGAGAGGGCAAGGACAGCUUCCUUAAUGGCACAGGCCAGGCACUGAAUCAAACAGCCCUGACACCUGAAUUCUCCACAUCUGUUCUCUAAGGCUCUCAUGCAUCUGGAGUGGCCCUAUAUCAAAGUUCUGGAUGAUGGAAUGUAAGAGAAAAAGGUGUGUCAACCUUUCAGUUGUACCUUUUACAAGAAGCAGUGUCCCCAACCUUCCCCUUUGCUGUUGCUUUGAGUGCAGACAUAAUGGCAGAAGCUGGAGGUGCCAUCGCGACUCGUAAUGUGAAAGUGACAUCCUGGGGAUGGCUCAGGUUCUGACUGCAAGACAGAAGGAGUCUAGGCACUGAUGACUGAGGAGUUGACAUAGAGGUUCUAGAUCUUGUUCCUGGACUUCUUAUGGAGGAAGAAAUCAACUUUUCAUUUACAUCAUUUUAUUCAGGCCUUUCUGUUAAAGAAGCCAACUUUAUGUCCCAAUGAGUAGAGAUGUGACCAUAAAUGUCUGUAAAUCAAUGCCUGAUGAUGCGGUAGCUCUGGUGUGUGCCUAGGUAGGACCGAAGCAGAGUCCCCCAGUGAUUCCUGGGAGCCCCCAGAAGGGCUUCAGAAGUGCCUUCAACCUUUUGUUCCUAUGCAGGUUUGCUCUGUUUGUCCUCUUCUGCUCUGUCAUCCACACUGCCUUUGGCAUGGCAAGUCUUCCACUGUCACAGCUCAUCAAGGGAAAGCCACCACCCAGGCCCACAGCUGUCUCCCCUUCAUCCAGAUCCUGCAGGCCUCUGGGUAGAGAGAAUACUUUUGUACUUCUGGCCACUGUGUGUCUCCUGGGCCAUCAUGGAAGAUCUACCCUGAGACAUUCCAGAAACUGAUGUCAGCUCUGGGCCCUGCCCCUUCACAGAGGUUGCACCCAGUCAAUAGGGCCAGGCCUAAGGGAACAAAAACCUCAUUAUCCCUUCUGUAGCACCAAAUGCUACUACUCCUGUCCCUAUGCAGUUUGUGUCGUCUCCACUGUUCAAGACCCAGAACCUCACAGGUGAAUUAUGAAUAAAGGUGAAUUGGCCCCAG
This is a non-coding RNA of Oryctolagus cuniculus (rabbit), 2910 nucleotides long. The record is from RefSeq and is a predicted model, not a curated record. NCBI's taxonomy places the organism in Eukaryota, Metazoa, Chordata, Mammalia, Lagomorpha, Leporidae.